This 71-nucleotide microRNA precursor is filed under the name Myotis davidii. RNAcentral's name for it is "mir-9193 microRNA precursor family". It matches the Rfam family "mir-9193 microRNA precursor family". Lineage: Eukaryota; Metazoa; Chordata; Mammalia; Chiroptera; Vespertilionidae. The record is from Rfam by way of RNAcentral.
CUUGGGGUGGGGGUUCCAUCAGCCCAAAUUGCGAGGGUGCAGGCCAGGCUGAGGGACCCCACCUGUGCACA